GAUGAACGCUAGCGACAGGCUUAACACAUGCAAGUCGAGGGGCAGCACGGGAGUAGCAAUACAACUGGUGGCGACCGGCGCACGGGUGAGUAACGCGUAUGCAACCUACCUAUCAGAGGGGAAUAACCCGGCGAAAGUCGGACUAAUACCGCAUAAAACAGGGGCACCGCAUGGUGAUAGUUGUUAAAGAAAUUCGCUGAUAGAUGGGCAUGCGUUCCAUUAGGUAGUUGGUGAGGUAACGGCUCACCAAGCCGACGAUGGAUAGGGGAACUGAGAGGUUGGUCCCCCACACUGGUACUGAGACACGGACCAGACUCCUACGGGAGGCAGCAGUGAGGAAUAUUGGUCAAUGGGCGGGAGCCUGAACCAGCCAAGUCGCGUGAAGGAAGAAGGAUCUAUGGUUCGUAAACUUCUUUUGCAGGGGAAUGAAGUGCAGGACGUGUCCUGUUUUGUAUGUACCCUGAGAAUAAGGAUCGGCUAACUCCGUGCCAGCAGCCGCCGUAA
RNAcentral lists this ribosomal RNA (504 nucleotides) under uncultured bacterium. Its description in RNAcentral is "partial 16S ribosomal RNA". It matches the Rfam family "Bacterial small subunit ribosomal RNA", at positions 28 to 523 of the family's 1533-position model. The record is from RNAcentral.